AGUGACAUUGAGCUGUCUACCAAGCCUUUAAAAAAAAUCGUUGUUUUCAAUUUAAGGUAGGUGAAUGUGGAUACUCACUUCUUAAACAUGAAACAAGUGAGCCUACUUGAAGAGGAGGAGACAGUUCUGAAGCCUGACAAGGUGACACACACAGAGGAACACAUCAGACGGAGGAAAGGCUUUACAGAAAUCCCACGUUGUGCAAGUAUGAAGCCAUGUGACGUGUGCUCUGCGGUUGAAGAUGGUUGGAAAGCCCUACUUCACACAGUCCAACGAAUCAUGCAGCUCUGGGGGAAAGGACAUAGCUACUUGUAGUUUGAAUGAAAACUGCCCCCAUAGACCGACAUACUGGAAUACUUGGCCCCCCAUCUGUGGCACUGUUGGUGAAAGCGAUGGAGCCUUUAAGACGCCCGGCUGGAAGAAAUUUGUUUGGGGUAGGGGCAGACUUUGAGGAUGUGUAGCCUGCUUCCCUUCACGCGCUCUCAGCUUCCUGUGUGUGCAUGAAAAUGUAACUUCUGCUUCCGCUGCCCCGCCACACCUUCCAGGUCACUAUGCACUUUACCUUUCUGGAACCUUGAGCUAAAAUGUACUCUCUUCCUUGAGCAGGUUUUAGCCACAGAAUUUUACCAGAGCAACAGUAACUGACAUACUGUUUUCCUUCUCCUUUUUGACUGCCCAAACUGAAUUGAAG
This 691-nucleotide long non-coding RNA is filed under the name Rattus norvegicus (Norway rat). RNAcentral's name for it is "long non-coding RNA NONRATT032514". Lineage: Eukaryota; Metazoa; Chordata; Mammalia; Rodentia; Muridae. The record is from RNAcentral.